GACGAACGCUGGCGGCGUGCUUAACACAUGCAAGUCGAACGGUGAAAGCGGAGCUUGCUCCGCUGGAUCAGUGGCGAACGGGUGAGUAACACGUGGGCAACCUGCCCCUCACUUCGGGAUAACUCCGGGAAACCGGGGCUAAUACCGGAUAUGACCUCCUUGGGCAUCCUUGGAGGUGGAAAGCUUUUCGGUGGGGGAUGGGCCCGCGGCCUAUCAGCUUGUUGGUGAGGUAGUGGGUCACCAAGGCGACGACGGGUGGCCGGCCGGAGAGGGGGACAGGGCAACAUGGGCAUGGGCCACGGGCCAGAUUCGUGCGGGAGGCAGCAGUGGGCAAUAUUGCGGAAUGGGCGAAAGCCUGACGCAGCAACGCCGGGUGCGGGAUGGCGGCGUUCGGGUUGUAAACCGCUUUCAGCAGGGAAGAAGCCGAAAGGUGACGGUACCUGCAGAAGAAGCACCGGCUAACUACGUGCCAGCAGCCGCCGUAA
RNAcentral lists this ribosomal RNA (485 nucleotides) under uncultured bacterium. RNAcentral's name for it is "partial 16S ribosomal RNA". It matches the Rfam family "Bacterial small subunit ribosomal RNA", at positions 28 to 523 of the family's 1533-position model. The record is from RNAcentral.